This is a long non-coding RNA of Asparagus officinalis (garden asparagus), 1633 nucleotides long. RefSeq lists it as uncharacterized. The transcript has 3 exons. The record is from RefSeq and is a predicted model, not a curated record. NCBI's taxonomy places the organism in Eukaryota, Viridiplantae, Streptophyta, Magnoliopsida, Asparagales, Asparagaceae.
GAAGACUCCGAUCCACGGCGGCGGAGUUCAUUGAUGGCGAUUUUAGUCUACGAUUGGGUCUUCAAGCACAAGGCUACGAUCGGAUGAGCUUUUAGCAAAAGCGUCCUUUUUGCACGGGACUAAUAGUCCCGUACCAAAAAGGGUCGAUUUUGCCCAUUUUCUUAUUACACGGUCGAUUUUGCUAAUUAAAUUUAAAAAACGGUCAUUUUUCAAAAUUUGUCCGAGUAAAUAUCCAUCAAAUUCCAAUGAUUUAUUGGACAUUGGACAAACAACAACAUGAAAACACUGAUCUUGAGCUGAGCAAGAAUAUGUUGCGCUCAACGGAAGCGGACUCAAUCUACAACAAGUCAGUCACCAAUGUACAAAGAACACAACGAGCACAAUCCACAAUAUAAACAACCAAGAUCAAUCGCAAACACAGAGAAUUACGUGGUUCGGCAAGAUACCUACGUCCACGGAAAGAGGAUGGAGAGAUUUCACUAUAUGGAGGAGAAAUACAAUGGGUUACAACUCUUAAGACAAUCAAACUAACCCUCACUAACAAGAUCUCACUCACCUCCAAAGAAUCUCCCUCUCAAAGUGUUCAAUCAACUCUAAGAACGCUUAUAUUAUUAGCCGCCACACCCUUCUAAUAUAUAUAUAUAUAAACCACGCCUUGGCUUUUAACCACUCCACCCGCUCCAGAUUAGUCGACCGAUAGGAUUCAUCGGUCGACCGAAGUGCACGAAACAUGCAUCAGAACUAACCUCGAUCGGUCAACUGAUAAAUCCUAUCGGUCGACUGUCCACAGGAAAUUUACAAUACUCAAGACUCAGGGUUAUAUCGGUUGACCGAUAGAAUUUAUCAGUCGACCAACCAGAGAGAACUUUCAACAGAGUAAUGUAAUAGAUUCGAAGCACAUUGAUCUGCAUACAGGACUGUUCACAGACUCCAAGUCUGCAAUUCUGAAUAACAAUGGGAUUGAACAUGAGUCAACAGGAAUAACUCAUGCCCCAGUGAGACCUCAAGUCCAGAGUGUGGAUCUUCUGUUUCCAUAAAUCAUUCCGCAGAAGGAGCUAACUCUAAUGGUUUCGAAGCAUCAAGUUCUCAAAGUGCUCAACCUAUUCGUAAGUCUAGUGCAAAGUUGUUCGGCAUUGAACUUCGUCAGCUUCAACAGAGUCCUUCCACAGCCUCAGAUGUUCAGGGCAGUUUCAGGUUUCUUUUAUCGAACACAGUUAGUCCAGAGACUAGAGCUGUUCAAAAUAAAUUACAGUUUCUCUGUCGAGAUUCUUCUUUUUGGAACGGUGAAGUUUGGGAAGCAGUGGUGCAGUAGGGAAGCCAUUUUUUCCUAAAGGUUUCAAAAAUCGUGUCCAGUUCUUCGGCGUGCUUGAUCGUACAAGGAUGAGUAAUUACAUUUCAGAAGUACUAGAUGCUGGAUUGCUUGGGCCUAUGUUUAAGGUUACUCUAGAGGAGAAUCAGGAGGAAACGUUCACACAUUCUUCUGCUACACAGUAUUGGGAUUUGGUGAGAGAGACUAAACCAAGAGAUCACUAGACGAUCAAGGCCAGGGAAGCAAGAUCUUCUCCAAAUGCAACCUGCAGGGAGCAUCAAUGGGCUCGAAAUGUUUGGGCUUUUGUGUCCAUCAACUGUUCAG